CUGCAGCUCAAGUGGUGACCGCUAUUAUUGGGCCUAAAGCGUCCGUAGCCGGGCCCGUAAGUCCCUGGCGAAAUCCCACGGCUCAACCGUGGGGCUUGCUGGGGAUACUGCGGGCCUUGGGACCGGGAGAGGCCGGGGGUACCCCUGGGGUAGGGGUGAAAUCCUAUAAUCCCAGGGGGACCGCCAGUGGCGAAGGCGCCCGGCUGGAACGGGUCCGACGGUGAGGGACGAAGGCCAGGGGAGCGAACCGGAUUAGAUACCCGAGUAGUCC
RNAcentral lists this ribosomal RNA (271 nucleotides) under uncultured archaeon. Its description in RNAcentral is "partial 16S ribosomal RNA". It matches the Rfam family "Archaeal small subunit ribosomal RNA", at positions 477 to 747 of the family's 1478-position model. The record is from RNAcentral.